Hemicordylus capensis (graceful crag lizard) is the source of this 1814-nucleotide long non-coding RNA. RefSeq lists it as uncharacterized. NCBI's taxonomy places the organism in Eukaryota, Metazoa, Chordata, Lepidosauria, Squamata, Cordylidae. The transcript is spliced from 3 exons. The record is from RefSeq and is a predicted model, not a curated record.
AUCCUGAAGACAGAGGAGGCAGCAAGCUUGUAUUUCUCUCCAAAAGAAGAUAUCAAGAAAGGAAAUUGAUUAAUUAACCAGCAAGGGAAAAAAAGGGAAAGGAGAAGCUAAGUUUGUUAGUGCUAGUAACUUUCUAGGGUUUGAUUUCUGGCUAGAAGUGUGUGGUUUUGACAGAGGAAGAGCAGUUAGCCUGAGUGGGGGAUUAACUCCAGGUGAGUGACUCAGCUUGUGAGGGAUCACAUUCCUGAGGAGAGUCAGAUUGCCAGCAGAUCUUGAAGACAAAGUUCAGACCAGAGGGCGUUUGUGGACGUGGGUUUGGAAAUAGAUAUCGAAUGAAUUUUGCAGGAGUUUAACGGGAGAUUGGCAGGGAACUUUGUAGGAAGGAAAACAAGUCAUCCCCAUUCAUCACAGAGGAGACACACAGCACAAGGAUAAGGUAAGCUUGAGACCUGACUCUCUGAGGUGUAGAAGGUAGGAGCAGAUGACUUGGGAGGACACCUGUGAGACGGGAAUCAUCCUGGAAUCCAGGAACUUGGAGAAGCGGGUCCAUUUGUGCCCAUAAGCCUUAAUCGUGGAUGGUUUAUGCGUGGCCAAGAGGACUCGUCGUAGAUUCAGAGGGAAGGAGGCCGGAUCCACCAAGCCAUCAGGCUGAACAGCUGCAGAGGUACUCAGUACCGAAGUCUUCGGGAUCGAGACAACAAGGUCAGAAUGGAGUGAAGGAUCCGAAGAGGGUUUUUGAGCCCUAGGCUCCGAAGGCAACGUGGCCUCGAUAUCGAUGAGAGCCGGCCCCAAAGGGGAAGAUAGCGGCUAGAAGCGCGAGCCCUGAUGCAUGUUGGAAGGUGUUUGUAUAUUCGCGGGCUGCACAGAGGUGGCUGAAGAUUUCAAGGCUUGUUCCCACAACCAAGACAGAAGGUGGGAAGUCCGGUUUUUUUGUGCCUGCUUGGUAAAGUUUUUACAAUGCGUACACAAGUCUACACAGUGCUCCUCUCCCAGACAAAAUAAACACCGGCUGUGGCCGUCCAAAACUGGGAGUUUUGCCCGAAAACAAGCACAAUGUUUGAAAAUAAGUUUAGUGGCCAUAAGCUGCGGAACGCCAGUGAAAUGCCAAGCCCCGAGGGACUAGGGAGUGGAGGAGGCGGGGAGGGAACAGAAGGAAAUAAAAAUGCUAAUGUGGAAAGAGGGAACUGAAAAUAAAUGGAAGAUAAACAGAAGGGAAAGGGAUAAGAAAUUCUCAAAAACUCUCCAACUCAAAGUACUCACAAGAAGUUGAUUUGUCCGUGGAUGAAAAAAAGACCAAGGAAGGAAGCCCGCGCAGCUGUAUAUAACCUGAGGAGCUGGAGCUACCACCAAAACUUCUAGGGCAGGAUCUAGCUUAAAGAAUCUUCGAUGAGGUCUCUGCGCAGGCACAAAGCCCAAUCGUGUUGAACACAAGAGACCAUGUUGAAGAAGCAUCAAUACUUUUUCUAUCUUGCUUCUUCAAAGUCCAGCUUUCGCAUCCAUACAGUGUCACGGGAAAAACCAUUGUCUGAACGAUACUAAUCUUUGUAGGUAUAGACAUGUCACAGCAUCUAAAUAUCCUUCCCAAGGCCUUCAUUACAACCCUACCAAGUGCUAGUCUGUGGCGUAUUUCUUGACUGCUGGAUCCUUUACUGUUGUUGGUCAAUCCUAAAAGACUGGGUAAAUUCACAUUCAGGUAAUGAAAGAGAGACCAAAUUUCUAGACAUGCUAAAAUGACUGUGCCUUAGAACAGAUAGUCAUGGAACCAAACAGAAAUGGCAACCUUGGACUUAACUCUGAGUGGUGCCUGGUGUGGA